This is a long non-coding RNA of Marmota flaviventris (yellow-bellied marmot), 416 nucleotides long. RefSeq lists it as uncharacterized. NCBI's taxonomy places the organism in Eukaryota, Metazoa, Chordata, Mammalia, Rodentia, Sciuridae. The record is from RefSeq and is a predicted model, not a curated record.
CGUAGGCUUUGCUGCGCUCCUGCUCUUGGCGUGUCCCUUCGCAGCUGUGCUAUGGCCCUGCUCCCAGAGCUCAGACUCCUGGGUCGAGCCGUCUAAGGUCACCUUUGAGCGCCUUCUGAGGCACGUUUCCCCCUUGGAACAAGGUGGCGCAAAGUCUGUUGGAAAAACAGCAAGCUGAGGUCUGAAGUUGUUUCGGUGUUUAUUGAAUGCCUACUGGGUGCCAACACUGUUCCUGGCGCUAAGGACAGAUGAGAAAAAUGAGGCCCAGAAGAAGUAGUAGGAUAGGUCUUUUAACCCAGUUGAUGGGUUUCCAGAAUCCGGAACUUCACAGCAACCUUGAUCAUCCCUGUCCCCAACAUCAGAGUUUCCAAAGGGAUUGGACCUAGAGGUGCUUCACAACUGAGCCACAUCUCAAG